CGUAUGGUUCUAUUUUGUUGGUUUCUAGGACCAUCGUAAUGAUUAAUAGGGACGGUCGGGGGCAUCAGUAUUCAGUCGUCAGAGGUGAAAUUCUUGGAUUGCCGGAAGACAAACUACUGCGAAAGCAUUUGCCAAGGAUGUUUUCAUUGAUCAAGAACGAAGGAAGGGGGAUCGAAAACGAUUAGAUACCGUUGUAGUCUCUUCUGUAAACUAUGCCAAUUGGGGAUCGGCACAGGAUUUUUAAUGACUGUGUCGGCACCCGAAGAGAAAUCUUUAAAUGAGGUUCGGGAGGGAGUAUGGUCGCAAGGCUGAAACUUAAAGGAAUUGACGGAAGGGCACCACCAGGUGUGGAGCCUGCGGCUUAAUUUGACUCAACACGGGGAAACUCACCAGGUCCAGACACAAUAAGGAUUGACAGAUUGAUAGCUCUUUCUUGAUCUUGUGGUUGGUGGUGCAUGGCCGUUCUUAGUUGGUGGAGUGAUUUGUCUGGUUAAUUCCGAUAACGAACGAGACCUUAACCUGCUAAAUAGACCAGCCGACUUUGGUUAGCUGCUGUCUUCUUAGAGGGACUAUCAGCGUUUAGCUGAUGGAAGUUUGAGGCAAUAACAGGUCUGUGAUGCCCUUAGAUGUUCUGGGCCGCACGCGCGCUACACUGACAGAGCCAGCGAGUCUACCACCUUUGCCGGAAGGCAUGGGUAAUCUUGUGAACUCUGUCGUGA
This 719-nucleotide ribosomal RNA is filed under the name uncultured fungus. Its description in RNAcentral is "SSU rRNA". It matches the Rfam family "Eukaryotic small subunit ribosomal RNA", at positions 827 to 1570 of the family's 1831-position model. Lineage: Eukaryota; Fungi. The record is from RNAcentral.